This 70-nucleotide transfer RNA is filed under the name Chamaeleo chamaeleon musae. RNAcentral's name for it is "tRNA-Ser". It matches the Rfam family "tRNA". Rfam says of the family: Transfer RNA (tRNA) molecules are approximately 80 nucleotides in length. Their secondary structure includes four short double-helical elements and three loops (D, anti-codon, and T loops). The record is from RNAcentral. RNAcentral also lists the same sequence under 1 other name. Lineage: Eukaryota; Metazoa; Chordata; Lepidosauria; Squamata; Chamaeleonidae.
GAGGUGGCAGGAGAUGGUUCUGCGUGUGGCUUGAAACCAUGAGGUGGGGGUUCAAUUCCCCCCUUCCUUG